GAUGAACGCUGGCGGCGUGCCUAAUACAUGCAAGUCGAGCGAACAGACGAGGAGCUUGCUCCUCUGACGUUAGCGGCGGACGGGUGAGUAACACGUGGAUAACCUACCUAUAAGACCGGGAUAACUUCGGGAAACCGGAGCUAAUACCGGAUAAUAUAUUGAACCGCAUGGUUCAAUAGUGAAAGACGGUUUUGCUGUCACUUAUAGAUGGAUCCGCGCCGCAUUAGCUAGUUGGUAAGGUAACGGCUUACCAAGGCAACGAUGCGUAGCCGACCUGAGAGGGUGAUCGGCCACACUGGAACUGAGACACGGUCCAGACUCCUACGGGAGGCAGCAGUAGGGAAUCUUCCGCAAAGGGCGAAAGCCUGACGGAGAAACGCCGCGUGAGUGAUGAAGGUCUUCGGAUCGUAAAACUCUGUUAUUAGGGAAGAACAAAUGUGUAAGUAACUAUGCACGUCUUGACGGUACCUAAUCAGAAAGCCACGGCUAACUACGUG
RNAcentral lists this ribosomal RNA (497 nucleotides) under uncultured bacterium. RNAcentral describes it as "partial 16S ribosomal RNA". It matches the Rfam family "Bacterial small subunit ribosomal RNA", at positions 28 to 507 of the family's 1533-position model. The record is from RNAcentral.